GACGAACGCUGGCGGCGUGCCUAAUACAUGCAAGUUGAGCGCUGAAGGUUGGUACUUGUACCAACUGGAUGAGCAGCGAACGGGUGGGUAACGCGUGGGGAAUCUGCCUUUGAGCGGGGGACAACAUUUGGAAACGAAUGCUAAUACCGCAUAAAAACUUUAAACACAAGUUUUAAGUUUGAAAGAUGCAAUUGCAUCACUCAAAGAUGAUCCCGCGUUGUAUUAGCUAGUUGGUGAGGUAAAGGCUCACCAAGGCGAUGAUACAUAGCCGACCUGAGAGGGUGAUCGGCCACAUUGGGACUGAGACACGGCCCAAACUCCUACGGGAGGCAGCAGUAGGGAAUCUUCGGCAAUGGACGAAAGUCUGAACGAGCAACGCCGCGUGAGUGAAGAAGGUUUUCGGAUCGUAAAACUCUGUUGGUAGAGAAGAACGUUGGUGAGAGUGGAAAGCUCAUCAAGUGACGGUAACUACCCAGAAAGGGACGGCUAACUACGUG
This 497-nucleotide ribosomal RNA is filed under the name uncultured bacterium. RNAcentral's name for it is "partial 16S ribosomal RNA". It matches the Rfam family "Bacterial small subunit ribosomal RNA", at positions 28 to 507 of the family's 1533-position model. The record is from RNAcentral.